GGUGGCCAGAGAGAUGUGAUGAGAGGACUCAACCCAUUGUCGCUGGCUUUGAAAAUAGAUUAAAGAGGCCACAAACCAAGAAAUGCGGGUGGCCCCUAGAAUAUGGAAAAGCAUUUCUAGGUGCAGACGAGGCAUUUGGGGCAUAGAAGAUCACACUCUUCUUCCGCCAUGUCUUAAGGUAAGGAGACUGAGAUGAAGACAGGAGAUAUACGUC
RNAcentral lists this long non-coding RNA (214 nucleotides) under Homo sapiens (human). RNAcentral describes it as "non-protein coding LINC00379:4". Lineage: Eukaryota; Metazoa; Chordata; Mammalia; Primates; Hominidae. The record is from RNAcentral.